RNAcentral lists this long non-coding RNA (450 nucleotides) under Oryza sativa Indica Group (long-grained rice). Its description in RNAcentral is "lncRNA OsZS97_03G019420". Lineage: Eukaryota; Viridiplantae; Streptophyta; Magnoliopsida; Poales; Poaceae. The record is from RNAcentral.
CUAAGGCCUUUUCUCUUCAGACCUAAACCUAGCAAGCACAAAAAAACCCGAGGUGGAGGAGGCGGCUGCGGCGGCCGCGCGAGGUGGUGGCGGCGGCUGCGGUGCGCGCACGAGGAUAUGGAUAAGAGUUGGAUGAAUUUGCCUGAUAGGUUCUCACAAGGUUAUAUAGCCGGUGUGAAUGCAUUUAUCGAAUUUUCCUGUCAACAAAAUAGAGAGAGGGAUGCACUGCUUUGUCCUUGCGAAAGGUGUAUGAAUAUAAGCCAAAAACCUAUCAAUGAAGUCCGAACUCAUCUAGUAUUAUAUGGCAUACAAGUUUCAUACAAGCAUUGGGUUUUUCAUGGUGAACAAGUGGACCUAGAUAUUGAUCCAGUUGAUGAGCCUAUCAAUGAUGAAGAUGAUGAGGAUUUUGAUGGUCUGGACAUGAUUCAAGAUCUGUUAGGAGACAUCCAU